Molecule: ribosomal RNA, 547 nt
Filed under: uncultured marine picoplankton
Lineage: Eukaryota
Description: SSU rRNA
Rfam family: Eukaryotic small subunit ribosomal RNA
Source: RNAcentral
CGUAUAUUAAAGUUGUUGCGGUUAAAAAGCUCGUAGUUGGAGUUCUGCCAGGUGCCACCUGUCCGCCCCAGUGGUGAGUACGUGGUGCGCAUUUGGCCCUUUCAAGGGGAGCGUAUUUGCACUUAAUUGUGUGGUGCGGGAUCCUUGACUUUUACUUUGAGGAAAUAAGAGUAUUCCAAGCAGGCUCUCGUCGUGCAUAGCUCAGCAUGGAAUAAUAGCAUUGGAUCUCGAUUCCAAACUGUUGGUUGUAGGAAACGAGAUAAUGAUGAAGAGGGAUAGUUGGGGGCAUUCGUAUUUAACUGUCAGAGGUGAAAUUCUUGGAUUUGUUAAAGACGAACUACUGCGAAAGCAUCUGCCAUGGAUGUUUUCAUUGAUCAAGAACGAAAGUUAGGGGAUCGAAGACGAUCAGAUACCGUCCUAGUCUUAACUAUAAACCAUGCCGGCUAGAGAUCGGAGGUUGUUCGUUUUGUGACGCCUUCAGCAUCUUGAGAGAAAUCAAAGCCUUUGGGUUCCGGGGGGAGUAUGGUCGCAAGGCUGAAACUUAAAG